AACGAACGCUGGCGGCAUGCCUAACACAUGCAAGUCGAACGAGACCUUCGGGUCUAGUGGCGCACGGGUGCGUAACACGUGGGAAUUUGCCUCGGGGUAUGGAAUAAACUCAGGGAAACUUGAGCUAAUACCAUAUAAUGUCUUCGGACCAAAGAUUUAUCGCCCUGAGAUAAGCCCGCGUAGGAUUAGCUAGUUGGUGGGUAAAGGCUCACCAAGGCGACGAUCCUUAGCUGGUCUGAGAGGAUGAUCAGCCACACUGGGACUGAGACACGGCCCAGACUCCUACGGGAGGCAGCAGUGGGGAAUAUUGGACAAAUGGGGCGAAAGCCUGAUCCAGCAAUGCCGCGUGAGUGAUGAAGG
Molecule: ribosomal RNA, 360 nt
Filed under: uncultured bacterium
Lineage: Bacteria
Description: bacterial SSU rRNA
Rfam family: Bacterial small subunit ribosomal RNA
Source: RNAcentral